RNAcentral lists this long non-coding RNA (210 nucleotides) under Gossypium barbadense (sea-island cotton). RNAcentral describes it as "long non-coding RNA (GBAR_LNC009485)". The record is from RNAcentral. Lineage: Eukaryota; Viridiplantae; Streptophyta; Magnoliopsida; Malvales; Malvaceae.
GGCAAUCUAUUCUACGGGAAGCACAUAGUAGUCCUUAUGCUAUGCAUCCCGACGGUAAUAAAAUAUACCAUGAUCUUUAAGAGAUGUAUUAGUAGCCCGGUUUGAAGCAUGAUUGAUAGAUUAUGUAUCUCGGUGUCUUACGUGCCAACUAGUCAAGAUUCCACGAUGGAAUGAGAAUGGGUAACUAAGGAUUUUGUCUGUGGGUUGCCC